Molecule: ribosomal RNA, 463 nt
Filed under: uncultured bacterium
Lineage: Bacteria
Description: bacterial SSU rRNA
Rfam family: Bacterial small subunit ribosomal RNA
Source: RNAcentral
GCACAAGCGGUGGAGCAUGUGGCUUAAUUCGACGCAACGCGAAGAACCUUACCAAGGCUUGACAUAUACCGGAAAGCAUCAGAGAUGGUGCCCCCCUUGUGGUCGGUAUACAGGUGGUGCAUGGCUGUCGUCAGCUCGUGUCGUGAGAUGUUGGGUUAAGUCCCGCAACGAGCGCAACCCUUGUUCUGUGUUGCCAGCAUGCCCUUCGGGGUGAUGGGGACUCACAGGAGACUGCCGGGGUCAACUCGGAGGAAGGUGGGGACGACGUCAAGUCAUCAUGCCCCUUAUGUCUUGGGCUGCACACGUGCUACAAUGGCCGGUACAAUGAGCUGCGAUGCCGCGAGGCGGAGCGAAUCUCAAAAAGCCGGUCUCAGUUCGGAUUGGGGUCUGCAACUCGACCCCAUGAAGUCGGAGUUGCUAGUAAUCGCAGAUCAGCAUUGCUGCGGUGAAUACGUUCCCGGGC